Molecule: unclassified non-coding RNA, 314 nt
Filed under: uncultured fungus
Lineage: Eukaryota; Fungi
Description: partial contains internal transcribed spacer 2 and large subunit ribosomal RNA
Source: RNAcentral
AACGCAUAUUGCACUCUUCCGGUGCCCCCGGGGAGUAUGCCUGUUUCAGGCCGAGUAAUGGGCGCGAUUGAACGUGUUGCUUGUGGUGCAUGCAGGUUCGUGUUGGCGCGUUUUUUGGGCGUUGCCCCCCGGCGGGGGGCUGGCUCUGAAAGGAAAAUACCAGAGUUUUUUUUACUCGCAAGCGUGAUAGUUGGCUUCUGGGCCAUCUUUUUUCGCCGAAAGGGGGAAAACUCUGCGUUAUUAUUUAUUCGGCGCGCAGGAAAUCUUUUUUAAACAUCGGUCUGAAAUCAGGUAGGAUUACCCGCUGAACUUAA